RNAcentral lists this ribosomal RNA (253 nucleotides) under uncultured bacterium. RNAcentral describes it as "partial 16S ribosomal RNA". It matches the Rfam family "Bacterial small subunit ribosomal RNA", at positions 524 to 776 of the family's 1533-position model. The record is from RNAcentral.
UACGAAGGGUGCUAGCGUUGUUCGGAUUUACUGGGCGUAAAGCGCACGUAGGCGGUUAUAUAAGUUAGCGGUGAAAUCCCGGGGCUCAACCUCGGAAUAGCCAUUAAUACUGUAUAGCUUGAGUGUAUGAGAGGAUGAUGGAAUAUCCAGUGUAGAGGUGAAAUUCGUAGAUAUUGGGUAGAACACCGGUGGCGAAGGCGACUAUCUGGCCAUUUACUGACGCUGAGGCUCGAAAGCGUGGGGAGCAAACAGG